RNAcentral lists this ribosomal RNA (253 nucleotides) under uncultured bacterium. RNAcentral's name for it is "partial 16S ribosomal RNA". It matches the Rfam family "Bacterial small subunit ribosomal RNA", at positions 524 to 776 of the family's 1533-position model. The record is from RNAcentral.
UACGUAGGGUGCAAGCGUUAAUCGGAAUUACUGGGCGUAAAGCGUGCGCAGGCGGUUUUGCAAGACAGGUGUGAAAUCCCCGGGCUUAACCUGGGAACUGCACCUGUGACUGCACAGCUGGAGUGCGGCAGAGGGGGAUGGAAUUCCGCGUGUAGCAGUGAAAUGCGUAGAUAUGCGGAGGAACACCGAUGGCGAAGGCAAUCCCCUGGGCCUGCACUGACGCUCAUGCACGAAAGCGUGGGGAGCAAACAGG